RNAcentral lists this ribosomal RNA (188 nucleotides) under uncultured Nocardioides sp. RNAcentral's name for it is "partial 16S ribosomal RNA". It matches the Rfam family "Bacterial small subunit ribosomal RNA", at positions 338 to 524 of the family's 1533-position model. The record is from RNAcentral. Lineage: Bacteria; Bacillati; Actinomycetota; Actinomycetes; Propionibacteriales; Nocardioidaceae.
CCUACGGGAGGCAGCAGUGGGGAAUAUUGGACAAUGGGCGGAAGCCUGAUCCAGCAACGCCGCGUGAGGGAUGACGGCCUUCGGGUUGUAAACCUCUUUCAGGAUUGACGAAGCUGUGCCUUUUUGGGUGUGGUGACGGUAGGUCCAGAAGAAGCACCGGCCAACUACGUGCCAGCAGCCGCGGUAAU